Molecule: long non-coding RNA, 804 nt
Filed under: Prunus persica (peach)
Lineage: Eukaryota; Viridiplantae; Streptophyta; Magnoliopsida; Rosales; Rosaceae
Description: long non-coding RNA (PPER_LNC005787)
Source: RNAcentral
UUAGGUGCAGUGGGCUCCAUUGAAUAGUGUUGGGUCCAUGCAAUACUUGGACCCAUAUUUGGGUUCAAAUUUUCUUGGAUUGGGAGAGGUUUUGGGCAAUAUUUUGGGUUUAGGUCCUUGGGUUGGAGAUGGCCUAAGAGGCCUUUUUUUUUUUUUAAUUUAAAAUUUAUUUUAGAAUUAAAAAAGAUAAUGGGUAGUUAUAUUUCAUAUAGUCCUGAUAUCUUGGACUACAGGGGUCCAAGAGAUUUGUGGUCACUCACCGUCGGAUGUAAAUUCAACAGUUCACUCACUCGUGCACUCAUUUUAAAAGACUUUUUUGAACCAUUGGAUUAGGAGUCCAAGAGAUCGGGAUUGAUAUUUCAUAACAAUAAGAUCCAUUAUCUGAUUUUUCUUUUAAUUUUAAUUUUUUUUAAUAUGAAAAAGUGUGAAUUUACCAUAUUAUCCUCAUUUAAUUAAUAAUUUCAAUUCUUAAUAUUUGCAUUAACUAAGGGCAAUUUCUGGUAUUUUGAAUGUUUUACCAUUCUCUACCUUUUGCUUUAUAUAUACUCACGCAUGUGCCAAUUGAUUUUAUUUUUUAUUUUUUAUUUUAUUUUUAGAAUUAAGAAGAGAUAACAUGGGCAAUUAUGUUCUAUAAAAGUAGGACCUAUUAUCUGAUUUUGUUUUUAAUUUUAAUUUUUUUAAUAUGAAAAAAAAUGUGAAUUUACUAUAUUAUUCUCAUUUAAUUAAUAAUUUGAAUUCUUAAGUUUGAAUUAACCAAGGGUAUUUUCUGGUAUUUUGAAUGUUUCACCAUUCUCUGCUUUUUAC